This 121-nucleotide ribosomal RNA is filed under the name Methanobrevibacter sp. Lineage: Archaea; Methanobacteriati; Methanobacteriota; Methanobacteria; Methanobacteriales; Methanobacteriaceae. The record is from RNAcentral.
UUUGGCGGUCAUAGCGACAGGGAUACACCUGGUCUCGUUCCGAUCCCAGAAGUUAAGUCUGUUCGCGUUUUGUUUGUGUACUAUGGACCUGGUCUAUGGGAAUUUCAUUUCGCUGCCAGCC